Molecule: ribosomal RNA, 520 nt
Filed under: uncultured Glomus
Lineage: Eukaryota; Fungi; Glomeromycota; Glomeromycetes; Glomerales; Glomeraceae
Description: SSU rRNA
Rfam family: Eukaryotic small subunit ribosomal RNA
Source: RNAcentral
AGCAGCCGCGGUAAUUCCAGCUCCAAUAGCGUAUAUUAAAGUUGUUGCAGUUAAAAAGCUCGUAGUUGAAUUUCGAGAUCGGUUUAUUGGUCGUGCUUUUGUACGUACUGGUAUUACCGGUUUCUCCUUUCUGACGAACCUUAAUGCCAUUAAUUUGGUGUUUUGGGAAAUCAGGACUGUUACUUUGAAAAAUUAGAGUGUUUAAAGCAGGCUCACGCUUGAAUACAUUAGCAUGGGAUAACGGAAUAGGACGUUUGAUUCUAUCUUGUUGGUUUCUAGGAUCGACGUAAUGAUUAAUAGGGAUAGUUGGGGGCAUUAGUAUUCAAUUGUCAGAGGUGAAAUUCUUGGAUUUAUUGAAGACUAACUACUGCGAAAGCAUUUGCCAAGGAUGUUUUCAUUAAUCAAGAACGAAAGUUAGGGGAUCGAAGACGAUCAGAUACCGUCGUAGUCUUAACCAUAAACUAUGCCGACUAGGGAUCGGAUGAUGUUAAUUUUUAAUGUACUCAUUCGGCGCCUUACG